Molecule: long non-coding RNA, 546 nt
Organism: Tribolium castaneum (red flour beetle)
Lineage: Eukaryota; Metazoa; Arthropoda; Insecta; Coleoptera; Tenebrionidae
Exons: 3
Source: RefSeq, a predicted model, not a curated record
AUCAAGGAUAAUCCGAUCCAAAUGUCACACAUGUUCUAAAAAAUCCAAUUAAAUUAACGAUUGACUUGUUCUAAAGUCAUUCCAGCGAUAGAUUUGACUUUCAGUUAAAGCCAAUGGUUUUAUAAAAUUUAUAUUUAGGCUUUGGUGGUGCAAAAAGGAGAAGAAUGUGUAAAUUCAGGUCUCAUCGCAUCAUUAUUCAUGAAAAGGCGGCUAUGCUAAUGGCAAGGUGCCAUUCUUAACCGGAUUUAAAUACUUCUCGGGAACAAGAGGUAACAUUACAUGAACACCUGCCUACAAUUCAAUGUUCAUUAAGGUCUGCACUUUUAAAUAUGGUGGUCGGCCAAACGUGUUAACUGUUGACGGAAGUAGGAGGUCCUAAAAUUCAUGGAAGAUUAAUCAAACCGGUCAGUGGGUGUCCAUCAAAGUGGUAAUGAGCUUCCAUGUGAACAUUUAUUACCAGAUCUUGAUCAGCUGGGGGUGUUAUGCUGACAUAUGACCAACAUUACGACCCUAUGCCCACAAGACCAAGUUUUGCUUGCGAAUAAA